This is a long non-coding RNA of Homo sapiens (human), 395 nucleotides long. The record is from Ensembl. Lineage: Eukaryota; Metazoa; Chordata; Mammalia; Primates; Hominidae.
AGUGGCUGUGCCUGUGGCCUUUGACGCUCAUCCUGACUCCUGACUGAUGAAUUAUUUGGUCGACUGAGGCAGAAUCACCUUUACUGGAGCAUAAUCUGUUGGAGGCAGCAUCUCCUGAAGUCUCCAUGAGUUGCUGGAAUGAAGAUGCAAGAGGAAAUUUGGAGAUGUUGCUUGAAAGUUUAAAGUAUUGGUGUUACCGAACCAUUAGAAUAUUACAUAUGGACAACGCCCAUCCAUUAGAAUAUUACGUAUGGACAACAUGGUGGAACAUUUCGAAUAAGGUUGAUUCUUCUAUGUCUUGGUUGGAAUAAAAGGAAGAUAUGUGCAUUACUAGAAGCAACGUACAACGAGAGAGCAAAGGAAAGUAGCUCAGACCCAAGGAAGAUCAAAUUAAG